UUCCCCCGAGUGAACUGCGGAAGGAUCAUUG
RNAcentral lists this ribosomal RNA (31 nucleotides) under Anathallis deborana. RNAcentral describes it as "partial 18S small subunit ribosomal RNA". Lineage: Eukaryota; Viridiplantae; Streptophyta; Magnoliopsida; Asparagales; Orchidaceae. The record is from RNAcentral.